CCUGACUGGCAGUGAGAAUUUUAAGCUGAUACAUCUGUUCAGGAAAGAAAGCUUGUAGACCUGAGAAUGCGUCCUUACUGAGAUCUAUUAAAGGCCUGCAAAGGUAAUCAUGGCAGUAUUAGGUCAUCAGAGAUCAGUUCCCCAGCCAGUCAGGAAAA
Perognathus longimembris pacificus (Pacific pocket mouse) is the source of this 158-nucleotide long non-coding RNA. RefSeq lists it as uncharacterized. The record is from RefSeq and is a predicted model, not a curated record. Lineage: Eukaryota; Metazoa; Chordata; Mammalia; Rodentia; Heteromyidae. The transcript is spliced from 3 exons.